This 494-nucleotide ribosomal RNA is filed under the name uncultured bacterium. Its description in RNAcentral is "partial 16S ribosomal RNA". It matches the Rfam family "Bacterial small subunit ribosomal RNA", at positions 28 to 507 of the family's 1533-position model. The record is from RNAcentral.
GACGAACGCUGGCGGCGUGCUUAACACAUGCAAGUCGAACGGUGAAGCGCCUUCCUCUUUGGUGGGUGUGGAUGAGUGGCGAACGGGUGAGUAACACGUGAGUAACCUGCCUCCUUCUUCUGGAUAACCGCAUGAAAGUGUGGCUAAUACGGGAUAUUCUGGGUCUGUCGCAUGAUGGGUCUGGGAAAGAUAUUGUUUCGGUGGGGGAUGGGCUCGCGGCCUAUCAGCUUAUUGGUGGGGUGAUGGCCUACCAAGGCGGUGACGGGUAGCCGGCCUGAGAGGGUGGACGGUCACACUGGGACUGAGACACGGCCCAGACUCCUACGGGAGGCAGCAGUGGGGAAUAUUGCACAAUGGGCGCAAGCCUGAUGCAGCGACGCCGCGUGAGGGAUGGAGGCCUUCGGGUUGUGAACCUCUUUCGCCAGUGAAGCAGGCCUGCCUCGUUUGUGGGUGGGUUGACGGUAGCUGGAGAAGAAGCGCCGGCUAACUACGUG